CAGUCUACUGCUAGCUUUACAUGUAGCAUCUAUGCUAGACCCAUUCAGUCAUUUGUAAACAAAGCGGCUGCGCGCAUUCCUUUCUCUGCAUAGCGGAGUAUUGUCAAGCUAUGCUAGCGGGUUAUCUGCAAAAGAUCGCGAAGCCUACUUUAAAUAAUAAAAACAACUUUAACUAGAUGGGUGACGGGGGAUAUGUGGGCCUGAUGGAUACAGCUUCAUCACAGCUAAACAACAAAAGAAAUCUGAAGCUUCUAUUUCGUUGCUGACAGAUGAUGACACACGAGAACUGCAGCUUCAUCUGACGACAGCGAAGAGGAGCGUCCUGAUUUACCUGAGCCCUUGACCGCUUUAUUUAGCACAUCAUCCAGGGACCUCACACCUCAGGAACUACAGGUGACGUGUGAGGAAACGUUUCACAGGCUAAAAAAACUAAACCACAGCCCUGUCAGUGUGAAAAACUGGAAGCUGUAACCCCGACAGCAGUCACAGUCAAGAGCACAUCCAUAGGGCUGGUGGGAUCACAAGCAUCUGAUGGAUAUAAUGCAGCACGACCAAAAAGCGUUAAAUGUUCCAUCUGUGCUGUGGGGAUCAAAACAUGGAGCAAACUGCACAGAUGUUAUGGCCAAAAGUCACAAACGUUUCUGUGUGACUUCCUGUGGCCUUCUGAGCCACACCUUGCCUCAUCAGCAGACGGCACAGGAAGCUGUAGCUGCUGUGGGAAGAAAGUGUCCGCACGAAUACCUYCAAAACUUUGAUGGAUGGACACAAAACACUCGUUUCUGUUUGGACAAAUCUUUCACUUUAAAGCAGUCACACAUACGGCCAUCAGACACAACUCCACAUGUUUGUGUGUAAUGUUAGCUACUGUGACUUUGUGCUGUGGUCAACAGCACAAGUAGCCUUUCUUGUGUUAAUUUUGUACAGUACGUACAGUUUUUACUAUUAAAUACUAUACUACUAAAUUA
Long non-coding RNA from Austrofundulus limnaeus, 965 nucleotides. RefSeq lists it as uncharacterized. The transcript is spliced from 2 exons. NCBI's taxonomy places the organism in Eukaryota, Metazoa, Chordata, Actinopteri, Cyprinodontiformes, Rivulidae. The record is from RefSeq and is a predicted model, not a curated record.